ACCCAUGCAAGUCGAGCGGUAGCACAGAGAGCUUGCUCUCGGGUGACGAGCGGCGGACGGGUGAGUAAUGUCUGGGAAACUGCCUGAUGGAGGGGGAUAACUACUGGAAACGGUAGCUAAUACCGCAUAAUGUCGCAAGACCAAAGUGGGGGACCUUCGGGCCUCAUGCCAUCAGAUGUGCCCCAGAUGGGAUUAGCUAGUUAGGUGGGGUAACGGCUCACCUAGGCGACGAUCCCUAGCUGGUCUGAGAGGGAUGACCAGCCACACUGGAACUGAGACACGGUCCAGACUCCUACGGGAGGCAGCAGUGGGGAAUAUUGCACAAUGGGCGCAAGCCUGAUGCAGCCAUGCCGCGUGUGUGAAGAAGGCCUUCGGGUUGUAAAGCACUUUCAGCGGGGAGGAAGGCGGUGAGGUUAAUAACCUCAUCGAUUGACGUUACCCGCAGAAGAAGCACCGGCUAACUCCGUGCCAGCAGCCGCGGUAAUACGGAGGGUGCAAGCGUUAAUCGGAAUUACUGGGCGUAAAGCGCACGCAGGCGGUCUGUCAAGUCGGAUGUGAAAUCCCCGGGCUCAACCUGGGAACUGCAUUCGAAACUGGCAGGCUAGAGUCUUGUAGAGGGGGGUAGAAUUCCAGGUGUAGCGGUGAAAUGCGUAGAGAUCUGGAGGAAUACCGGUGGCGAAGGCGGCCCCCUGGACAAAGACUGACGCUCAGGUGCGAAAGCGUGGGGAGCAAACAGGAUUAGAUACCCUGGUAGUCCACGCCGUAAACGAUGUCGAUUUGGAGGUUGUGCCCUUGAGGCGUGGCUUCCGGAGCUAACGCGUUAAAUCGACCGCCUGGGGAGUACGGCCGCAAGGUUAAAACUCAAAUGAAUUGACGGGGGCCCGCACAAGCGGUGGAGCAUGUGGUUUAAUUCGAUGCAACGCGAAGAACCUUACCUGGUCUUGACAUCCACAGAACUUUCCAGAGAUGGAUUGGUGCCUUCGGGAACUGUGAGACAGGUGCUGCAUGGCUGUCGUCAGCUCGUGUUGUGAAAUGUUGGGUUAAGUCCCGCAACGAGCGCAACCCUUAUCCUUUGUUGCCAGCGGUUCGGCCGGGAACUCAAAGGAGACUGCCAGUGAUAAACUGGAGGAAGGUGGGGAUGACGUCAAGUCAUCAUGGCCCUUACGACCAGGGCUACACACGUGCUACAAUGGCAUAUACAAAGAGAAGCGACCUCGCGAGAGCAAGCGGACCUCAUAAAGUAUGUCGUAGUCCGGAUUGGAGUCUGCAACUCGACUCCAUGAAGUCGGAAUCGCUAGUAAUCGUAGAUCAGAAUGCUACGGUGAAUACGUUCCCGGGCCUUGUACACACCGCCCGUCACACCAUGGGAGUGGGUUGCAAAAGAAGUAGGUAGCUUAACCUUCGGGAGGGCGCUACC
This 1417-nucleotide ribosomal RNA is filed under the name Klebsiella sp. RNAcentral's name for it is "bacterial SSU rRNA". It matches the Rfam family "Bacterial small subunit ribosomal RNA". Lineage: Bacteria; Pseudomonadati; Pseudomonadota; Gammaproteobacteria; Enterobacterales; Enterobacteriaceae. The record is from RNAcentral.